This 24-nucleotide non-coding RNA is filed under the name Cricetulus griseus (Chinese hamster). The record is from RNAcentral. Lineage: Eukaryota; Metazoa; Chordata; Mammalia; Rodentia; Cricetidae.
UCGACUCAACCAAGCAGCUGUGAG